CGAUGGUGCCAAAGGUGACACAAAACUUGCAUGUCACAAGGAAAUGUGCUUAGGCAUGCGGGUGUCGAUGGCGACACAAAGCUUGCAUGUCGCAAGGCGAUGGGCCUAAGCACUAGGGUGCCAAAGAUGACACAAGCUUGCAUGUUUGCAAGGCGAUGUACUUAGGCACGGGGGUGCCUAAUGUGACACAAAGCUUGUAUGUCACAAAG
RNAcentral lists this long non-coding RNA (209 nucleotides) under Prunus persica (peach). RNAcentral describes it as "long non-coding RNA (PPER_LNC007793)". Lineage: Eukaryota; Viridiplantae; Streptophyta; Magnoliopsida; Rosales; Rosaceae. The record is from RNAcentral.